RNAcentral lists this unclassified non-coding RNA (148 nucleotides) under uncultured Mycosphaerellaceae. The record is from RNAcentral. Lineage: Eukaryota; Fungi; Ascomycota; Dothideomycetes; Mycosphaerellales; Mycosphaerellaceae.
CUGAGUUCGGGGGCAAUCCCAGUCCCGACCUCCAACCCUUUGUGAACUUACCUUGUUGUUUCGGGGGCGACCCUGCCGUUCGCGGCAUUCCCCCCGGAGGUCAUCAGAACACUGCAUUAUUACGUCGGAGUAAAAAGUUAAUUUAAUA